RNAcentral lists this long non-coding RNA (2944 nucleotides) under Sus scrofa (pig). RNAcentral's name for it is "lncRNA (ENSSSCG00000042959.1)". Lineage: Eukaryota; Metazoa; Chordata; Mammalia; Artiodactyla; Suidae. The record is from RNAcentral.
UAUUUUUUGUCUUUUUGCCAUUUCUUGGACCGCUCCCGCAGCAUAUGGAGGUUCCCAGGCUACGGGUCUAAUCAGAGCUAUAGCCGCCAGCCUACGCCAGAGCCACAGCAACUCGGGAACCCAGCCGAGUCUGCAACCCACACCACAGCUCACGGCAACGCCGAAUCCUUAACCCACUGAUCAAGGCCAGGGAUCAAACCCACAACCUCACGGUUCCUAGUCAGAUUCAUUAACCACUGCACCACGACAGGAACUCCCUGUAGUGUUUACUUUUCCUGGUGGAAUGAAACUUGAAAAUAAGUUUAACUUUCACUUAAAACAUAAAGACAGAAGAGAAAAACCGUUUGAGCCGAUGUGUUUGUGGUGCUCAAAUACUUUGUAACUGUCCACACGGACAAUGGAAAGUUCAAAUGCAAGUUAAAUUAAUGGCUAUAAAUCUAAGUAAAUGAAUGGGUCUGAGCAAAUAAGUAAUUUAAGGAUUGAAGCUGGUCUCCUUUCCCUGGCCCCCCUUCCUUUAAUGGAACAAGUGGGCUUUCCUCUGUUUGAAAAAAAAAAAAUACCUACAAUGACUCUGUCACUUUGGUGUCCAUGAAUUGGCCUCUACAUGUGCUGCUGGCCUCUACCCUCUGACUCUCAGCAUGGUUCCUGCCCUCUUAUCCUUCCCCUGUUGGCUAUAUCCUAUUCUGUACUUAGGUGUUUCUUUAACUAUUUUUUGACUCCCACUGAGCCUAGAGCACAAGGAGAGCAGACACAAUGAGUCCUUAGCUCACCAAGGUACACCCUGCCUGGCAAAUAGCAGGUGCUUAUAACACAUUAGCUGUAUAAGGGCAUAGGUUGCUUCUGAUCCUUAUUUACCUCCUGUGAGGUCCCUUGAAUAGAAUCACUGAUUAAUUCAAUCCCAGUCAGGGAACGUACUAAGAUACUCCCAGAAACCAUAUGCCCUGGUGAGAAUCUGGUCCCAAGUGCCCGGGGAAAGCUCAGUCCAGCCUCAUUGCGUGGUCACCUACUGGGCCCCACAGCAAGAGGACCACAGCUCACACGGAACCAACACGCUCAGGUUCCUGAAUACGGGAUACCUGGUCCAUGGGCUGUGUGCCCUGAGAGUGGUGGUGAAGCAAGAAGGAGCAGUGUGUCUUCAUGGUAAAGAGCUUGGGAAAGACCUACGCCUGCUUCCUAAUUAGCGAGUGAGGCUGCUUAUAGCCACAGCAGGAGCUUAUUCCAGCCUGUGAUCAGGGAAAGCCCUUGGCCAAGGUCAACCCGACAGUGGGCUCUGAAAAUACAAAGAAGGCAGCAGAGAAGUGUUGGGGACAGGGCUCUAGACAGUGGGAGGGCCUGGAGGUCCUCCAUGGCAGAAGGGGAAACCUCAGGGGUUUGGUUUUACUACUGGAAAAAAAAUAGCAGGAAGUGGGGCUGGAUGGGAAAGGCUGGCAAGAGAGUCAUCCUGAGGCAGGGGUGACCUUCCGAGAGGGGAAGAAAGUGUGGAGGAGAAAGAAGGGGUACAGGUGGAAUGCGCGUGUCCCAAAGCGGGCUGCUAUCCACAUGUGUUCAGGCUGUCAACCUUCCCUGAGAUUUCUGCUCAUAGUACAUCCCCUUUCUAUACCACCUUUCAGUAGAAUGUUUAAAAAGAAAGAAAGAUAAAACGUGGUCCUGGAAGCCUCUGGAUCCCUAUGAAGGACCAGGAAGGAGUAGCAGGUGGAUCCCUAUAGGACCAGGGAGUAGCAGUAUGUGGAUCCCUAUGAAGGACCAGGAAGGAGUAGCAGGUGGAUCCCUAUGAAGGACCAACAAGGGGUAGCAGGUGGAUCCCUAUGAAGGACCAACAAGGGGUAGCAGGUGGAUCCCUAUGAAGGACCAGCAAGGAAUAGCAGGUGGAUCCCUAUGAAGGACCAACAAGGGGUAGCAGGUGGAUCCCUAUGAAGGACCAGCAAGGGGUAGCAGGUGGAUCCCUAUGAAGGACCAACAAGGGGUAGCAGAUGGAUCCCUAUGAAGGACCAGCAAGGGGAAGCAGGUGGAUCCCUAGGAAGGACCAGCAAGGGGAAGGAAGUGGAUCCCUAGGAAGGACCAGCAAGGGGAAGCAGGUGGAUCCCUAUGAAAGACCAGCAAGGGGAAGCCCAUAAUCAGGUCUGCACUGCAACGACCCUUCAAUGGGAGGAUGGAGAAUGCAGUGGCAAGGGGCCAGGAAAGCAUGCACUCAUUCCUGAGCCAGGAGAAGAAUGAACAAAGGCUUGGAGGGCUGAGUGUCAGUGGUGGUAGGAAGGACGGGAGGAUGGAAGAGGCAGAGAUGCUGGGGGCUGUGGGCACAGAGGGAGGAGUGGAAGGACUCUCAUGACACUGGCAGGCCUGGGGCCUGGAGCGAGGAGGGUUCUUCCCUGCUCCUGGAAUUCAUCCUGCCACGUCCAUCAGACACAGGACAGACAGACCCUCUGCCAGUUGGCCCAGGCUGGAAAACAUCACAUACUAUGGAUUUGACCACGACCAGGAUGGAGAACUCAAGAAUAAAUCUCCCUCUUCGUGAGAGUGAUGGCACCCUUUUCCCUCAGCAUAAUCCUGCUUAUGUUUGUGGUCCUAGAGUAAUUAACAAAAUGUCCCCAUGUGGAUGGUUAGCAACACACAGCUGUGAAGACGCACACACACGCACACACGUCCUUGCGUAUUCCUCUAAGUAUCGCUAACACAGACCACUCCAGCAUCACUGUGCUUAGGGACCCACCUGCUAUCACACACCUUUUCUCUCAAGACCACCCAACUGUGAAAGUGAGGUUUGUAACUCAUAAUUUGAACACCGAUGUGCCUCCUCCUCUCAGGAUUUCUGCACGUUUCUCUAUGAAUGGCCAGGCAUGCAGGGACCCUCCCCCUCCCUGAGCUUAGGGAGGGGUUGAUUUGAAACACAGAGAGAUGCAGGGAGAAAACUGGGUGACGAGAAUUGGCUAAAUCCACAUAGUUUUUG